UGCCCAGCAACUCCUAUCCCUACCUCCUCGCGGUACUGGCCGGGGUACGAGUAACCUUAGGGAAGAUCGGGUAACCAACCCCCGGUGGGAACUUUGGUCGUAUGCUGACAGGGAAAG
Molecule: ribozyme, 117 nt
Filed under: Aedes aegypti (yellow fever mosquito)
Lineage: Eukaryota; Metazoa; Arthropoda; Insecta; Diptera; Culicidae
Description: drz-agam-1 ribozyme
Rfam family: drz-agam-1 ribozyme
Source: Rfam by way of RNAcentral